RNAcentral lists this ribosomal RNA (578 nucleotides) under Enterobacteriaceae bacterium. Its description in RNAcentral is "bacterial SSU rRNA". It matches the Rfam family "Bacterial small subunit ribosomal RNA", at positions 883 to 1460 of the family's 1533-position model. Lineage: Bacteria; Pseudomonadati; Pseudomonadota; Gammaproteobacteria; Enterobacterales; Enterobacteriaceae. The record is from RNAcentral.
CGCCCCCAGGGUAAAAUUCAAUGAAAUGGAGGGGGGCCCGCCCAACCGGUGGACCAUGUGGUUAAUUUGGAUCCAACGGGAGGACCCUACCUUACUCUGGCCAUCCAGGGAUUUCGCAAAAGAUAGCUUAGGCCUUUCGGGAACUUUAAGCCGGUUGCGCCAGGCCGGUGGCCAGCUCGUGUUGGGAAAGGUGGGGUUAAUUCCCGCACGGGGCCCAACCUUUUCCCUUGGUUCCAACCGGUUCGGCCGGGAACUCAAAGGAGACUGCCGGUGAUAAACCGGAGGAAGGUGGGGAUGACGUCAAGUCAUCAUGGCCCUUACGAGUAGGGCUACACACGUGCUACAAUGGCGCAUACAAAGAGAAGCGACCUCGCGAGAGCAAGCGGACCUCAUAAAGUGCGUCGUAGUCCGGAUCGGAGUCUGCAACUCGACUCCGUGAAGUCGGAAUCGCUAGUAAUCGUAGAUCAGAAUGCUACGGUGAAUACGUUCCCGGGCCUUGUACACACCGCCCGUCACACCAUGGGAGUGGGUUGCACACAAGAAGUAGGUAGUCUUAACCUUCGGGAGGGCGCUACCAC